GACGAACGCUGGCGGCGUGCCUAAUACAUGCAAGUCGAGCGAAGUUUUUCUGGUGCUUGCACUAGAAAAACUUAGCGGCGAACGGGUGAGUAACACGUAAAGAACCUGCCUCAUAGACUGGGACAACUAUUGGAAACGAUAGCUAAUACCGGAUAACAGUAUUUCUCGCUUGGGAGUAAUUUAAAAGUUGGUUAUGCUAACACUAUGAGAUGGCUUUGCGGUGCUUUAGCUAGUUGGUGGGGUAAAGGCCCACCAAGGCGACGAUGCAUAGCCGACCUGAGAGGGUGAUCGGCCACACUGGGACUGAGACACGGCCCAGACUCCUACGGGAGGCAGCAGUAGGGAAUCUUCCGCAAUGGGCGAAAGCCUGACGGAGCAACGCCGCGUGAGUGAAGAAGGAUUUCGGUUCGUAAAGCUCUGUUGUUAGGGAAGAAUGGAUAUGUAGUAACUAUACAUGUAAGAGACGGUACCUAACCAGAAAGCCACGGCUAACUACGUG
RNAcentral lists this ribosomal RNA (499 nucleotides) under uncultured bacterium. RNAcentral's name for it is "partial 16S ribosomal RNA". It matches the Rfam family "Bacterial small subunit ribosomal RNA", at positions 28 to 507 of the family's 1533-position model. The record is from RNAcentral.